UACGAAGGGGGCUAGCGUUGUUCGGAAUUACUGGGCGUAAAGCGCACGUAGGCGGAUAUUUAAGUCAGGGGUGAAAUCCCAGAGCUCAACUCUGGAACUGCCUUUGAUACUGGGUAUCUUGAGUAUGGAAGAGGUAAGUGGAAUUGCGAGUGUAGAGGUGAAAUUCGUAGAUAUUCGCAGGAACACCAGUGGCGAAGGCGGCUUACUGGUCCAUUACUGACGCUGAGGAGCGAAAGCCAGGGGAGCAAACGGG
RNAcentral lists this ribosomal RNA (253 nucleotides) under uncultured bacterium. Its description in RNAcentral is "partial 16S ribosomal RNA". It matches the Rfam family "Bacterial small subunit ribosomal RNA", at positions 524 to 776 of the family's 1533-position model. The record is from RNAcentral.